ACUGGAGGAAGGUGGGGAUGACGUCAAGUCAUCAUGGCCCUUACGACCAGGGCUACACACGUGCUACAAUGGCGCAUACAAAGAGAAGCGACCUCGCGAGAGCAAGCGGACCUCAUAAAGUGCGUCGUAGUCCGGAUUGGAGUCUGCAACUCGACUCCAUGAAGUCGGAAUCGCUAGUAAUCGUGGAUCAGAAUGCCACGGUGAAUACGUUCCCGGGCCUUGUACACACCGCCCGUCACACCAUGGGAGUGGGUUGCAAAAGAAGUAGGUAGCUUAACCUUCGGGAGGGCGCUUACCACUUUGUGAUUCAUGACUGGGGUGAAGUCGUAACAAGGUAACCGUAGGGGAACCUGCGGUUGGA
Molecule: ribosomal RNA, 361 nt
Filed under: Escherichia coli
Lineage: Bacteria; Pseudomonadati; Pseudomonadota; Gammaproteobacteria; Enterobacterales; Enterobacteriaceae
Also listed under: 3 other names
Description: bacterial SSU rRNA
Rfam family: Bacterial small subunit ribosomal RNA
Source: RNAcentral